This 471-nucleotide ribosomal RNA is filed under the name Veillonella parvula. RNAcentral's name for it is "bacterial SSU rRNA". It matches the Rfam family "Bacterial small subunit ribosomal RNA", at positions 28 to 472 of the family's 1533-position model. The record is from RNAcentral. Lineage: Bacteria; Bacillati; Bacillota; Negativicutes; Veillonellales; Veillonellaceae.
GACGAACGCUGGCGGCGUGCUUAACACAUGCAAGUCGAACGAAGAGCGAUGGAAGCUUGCUUCUAUCAAUCUUAGUGGCGAACGGGUGAGUAACGCGUAAUCAACCUGCCCUUCAGAGGGGGACAACAGUUGGAAACGACUGCUAAUACCGCAUACGAUCUAAACUCGGCAUCGAGGAUAGAUGAAAGGUGGCCUCUACAUGUAAGCUAUCACUGAAGGAGGGGAUUGCGUCUGAUUAGCUAGUUGGAGGGGUAACGGCCCACCAAGGCGAUGAUCAGUAGCCGGUCUGAGAGGAUGAACGGCCACAUUGGGACUGAGACACGGCCCAGACCCCUACGGGAGGCAGCAGUGGGGAAUCUUCCGCAAUGGACGAAAGUCUGACGGAGCAACGCCGCGUGAGUGAUGACGGCCUUCGGGUUGUAAAGCUCUGUUAAUCGGGACGAAAGGCCUUCUUGCGAAUAGUGAGAAGGA